AUGACUAAAGUGAUUAUUCAGUGCAAAGGUGAAGCCAGUAAGCAAUGUCUGUAUGAUUACUCAGCCUUUACUCAAUAUUCCAUUGGCAGGGGGGAAGAAGAUGAUGGAAAAUCAAGCCAGAAGACUCGGAUCUUCAAUUUCUUUGGCACCUACACUGAAAAUUACAAAGCCUGGGAACUCAAUGGGACAGGAAAGAUCUGCACUGUCAGCCAUGGAGCAGCUUUCUGCAAGUCUGAGAUAAAGCAUUUAGGGAGGAAAUCUAGUGGAAGCUCCACUUCUGGGAGAUGGCAACUAUCAAUAAUAGAAUUCCACACAAGGAACAAGAUGCCUGUUGAAUUCCACCCUUUAUGAGAACUGAACUUACCUACUGCCAAAAGUAGAUGGGGUUUGGCUUUUAUUUGCUCUGUCUUGUUGCCUGCAUAUUUGAGGUAAGCCAGAUAAAAUGGAAAUAGCAAUGUUUAACACGUUAAUUGCCAAAAGUACUGAGUUACUGGGAGUAAAAUUUUCAAACAUAUCUAAAGGAAAGCAGGUGUAGGAAAAUUGUCCCUCAUUCCAGCUGCUUUUUAUCAUAACAAUGUUUGGUUCCCAUGAUCAUUUAAGUAAAAGGUCUUACUGGACUUACAGGCUUCUGCUGAUACCUAAGAUAGGACAGUCAGCACAUAAAUUAGGUGAGCGUCGUCUGCUAGUCAUGUGGAAUGCCACCAUGACCACGAAUCUGCAACGUGUUAGACUACUCUGUGUGGAGAUUAUAUGAAGACUAAAAGUACUGUUUAAAAUACAAAGAUAACCCAUGGCUUCUAGGGUAUAUGAGAGCUUUCAAAUUGUACCCAGUUAUCAUCACUAUACCACAAAAUUCUCUAGAUUACUGUUUAAAUGAUGUAAGUAGCUCAGGCUUUAAGUCAGAAACUUAUUUAAUUUCAAUUUUUAACAUAACUUUAUAUCCAAAUAGAUUUAGAAACUAUUUCCAAAUAGUUUAUUGGUUUUAAUUCCAUAUUCUUCACUCCUGAUUUUUGGGAUAAUACUUCUAACAUUGUAAAGAACUCCAGAGAGCCUUGAGGUAUUCCGGGCUCUCACAGUGCUGUGCUUCCCUCUUUGUCUAACAGAUCAGUCACCAAAUAAGACUUUAACUCAUAUGCCAUGGAUAGCUAAACCAGUUUGAGUUUUGCAUACUGUUUUACUCUUGAAGUUUAAACAAGCUAAUUAGUAGCUCUGAUACAAGAAUACUCACAGGAAAAAAAAUCUUCUCACCUUUUAUAUUCAAAUUAUGUACUUUAAAAUUUGUAAUCAAUUUUCAAUGGCUCUUCUAUAACUGAGUCAGGUGUUUAAGGUAUAAAUAAACCUGUAAACCUUCUUUGAAACA
This 1360-nucleotide long non-coding RNA is filed under the name Anas platyrhynchos platyrhynchos (common mallard). RNAcentral describes it as "lncRNA (ENSAPLG00000025452.1)". The record is from RNAcentral. Lineage: Eukaryota; Metazoa; Chordata; Aves; Anseriformes; Anatidae.